UUCCGGUUGAUCCCGCCGGAGGUUACUGCUUUCGAGGUUCGACUAAGCCAUGCGAGUCGAAUGUCCGUAAGGACAUGGCGAACUGCUCAGUAACACGUGGACAACCUGCCCUUUGGACAGGGAUACCCCUGGGAAACUGGGACUAAUCCCUGAUAAGUCUCCGUAGCUGGAAUGCUCGGAGACGGAAAGCUCCGGCGCCACAGGAUGGGUCUGCGGCCUAUCAGGGUAGUAGUGGGUGUAGAGUACCUACUAGCCUACGACGGGUACGGGUUGUGAGAGCAAGAGCCCGGAGAUGGAUUCUGAGACACGAAUCCAGGCCCUACGGGGUGCAGCAGGCGCGAAAACUUUACAAUGCGGGACACCGCGAUAAGGGGACCUCGAGUGCUGGCAUACAAUGCUGGCUGUCCAGCUGCCUAAAUAGCAGUUGAUAGCAAGGGCCGGGCAAGACCGGUGCCUGCCGCCGCGGUAACACCGGCGGCUCGAGUGGUAACCGCUAUUAUUGGGUCUAA
This 509-nucleotide ribosomal RNA is filed under the name uncultured archaeon. RNAcentral describes it as "bacterial SSU rRNA". It matches the Rfam family "Archaeal small subunit ribosomal RNA", at positions 1 to 513 of the family's 1478-position model. The record is from RNAcentral.